AUUGAAUGCUGGCGGCAGGCCUAACACAUGCAAGUCGAACGAGUGGCGGACGGGUGAGUAUUGUCUGGGAAACUGCCUGAUGGAGGGGGAUAACUAUUGGAAACGGUAGCUAAUACCGCAUACCAUCAGAUGUGCCCAGAUGGGUUUAGUUAGUAGGUGGGGUAACGGCUCACCUAGGCGACGAUCCCUAGCUGGUCUGAGAGGAUGACCAGCCACACUGGGACUGAGACACGGUCCAGACUCCUACGGGAGGCAGCAGUGGGGAAUAUUGCACAAUGGGCGCAAGCCUGAUGCAGCCAUGCCGCGUGUGUGAAGAAGGCCUUCGGGUUGUAAAGCACUUUCAGCGGGGAGGCGUUACCCGCAGAAGAAGCACCGGCUAACUCCGUGCCAGCAGCCGCGGUAAUAC
RNAcentral lists this ribosomal RNA (406 nucleotides) under uncultured bacterium. RNAcentral describes it as "partial 16S ribosomal RNA". It matches the Rfam family "Bacterial small subunit ribosomal RNA", at positions 30 to 526 of the family's 1533-position model. The record is from RNAcentral.